This 198-nucleotide ribosomal RNA is filed under the name uncultured bacterium. Its description in RNAcentral is "partial 16S ribosomal RNA". It matches the Rfam family "Bacterial small subunit ribosomal RNA", at positions 335 to 525 of the family's 1533-position model. The record is from RNAcentral.
ACUCCUACGGGAGGCAGCAGUGGGGAAUAUUGGACAAUGGGCGCAAGCCUGAUCCAGCCAUGCCGCGUGUGUGAAGAAGGCCUUCGGGUUGUAAAGCACUUUUGUUGGGGAAGAAAAGCCAUGGGUUAAUACCCUGUGGUUCUGACGGUACCCAAAGAAUAAGCACCGGCUAACUUCGUGCCAGCAGCCGCGGUAAUA